AUAUUAAUGUAAACCAUUUAAUGAAUUUUUCACACUUAAAUAACAUUAGAUUCCAUAAAACCCAGAGAUGAGAUGGAAAAGCUCCUUUUUGUAUCCUUUCUGGAUACAGCU
Small nucleolar RNA from Perognathus longimembris pacificus (Pacific pocket mouse), 111 nucleotides. RefSeq annotates it as small nucleolar RNA SNORA26. The transcript has a single exon. The record is from RefSeq and is a predicted model, not a curated record. NCBI's taxonomy places the organism in Eukaryota, Metazoa, Chordata, Mammalia, Rodentia, Heteromyidae.